RNAcentral lists this non-coding RNA (78 nucleotides) under Salipiger mucosus. The record is from RNAcentral. Lineage: Bacteria; Pseudomonadati; Pseudomonadota; Alphaproteobacteria; Rhodobacterales; Roseobacteraceae. RNAcentral also lists the same sequence under 1 other name.
CCGACUGGGCGUGGCGAUUUGUUACCGGAUUGCGGGCCACGUUAAACACGCCGCUAAAGAGGUCGAAGGAAAGAGCCC